Molecule: long non-coding RNA, 212 nt
Filed under: Elaeis guineensis (African oil palm)
Lineage: Eukaryota; Viridiplantae; Streptophyta; Magnoliopsida; Arecales; Arecaceae
Description: long non-coding RNA (EGUI_LNC067343)
Source: RNAcentral
GGGGCAGAUAAUCUCUUCAACGACAGGGACCUGGUCAGGCGGCUGAUUGACGGCUGCAUUCUGCCAGAUGUCGUAAAGAGGAUCGACCGUGCCGACCAUGAGUAGCGGGCUUGGGACACUUUGGGAUCUUUUCUUGAGGUAAGCGGGUCUUUAUUUAUACGGCUACUUGGCCUUUGUUCUCAUUCCCCAGCCGCCCUUGCAGAUUGGGCACC